Molecule: ribosomal RNA, 253 nt
Filed under: uncultured bacterium
Lineage: Bacteria
Description: partial 16S ribosomal RNA
Rfam family: Bacterial small subunit ribosomal RNA
Source: RNAcentral
UACGGAGGGUGCAAGCGUUAUCCGGAUUCACUGGGUUUAAAGGGUGCGUAGGUGGGCUGGUAAGUCUGUGGUGAAAUCCCCGAGCUUAACUUGGGAACUGCCAUGGAUACUAUCAGUCUUGAAUACCGUGGAGGUCAGCGGAAUAUGUCAUGUAGCGGUGAAAUGCAUAGAUAUGACAUAGAACACCCAUUGCGAAGGCAGCUGACUACGCGGAGAUUGACGCUGAGGCACGAAAGCGUGGGGAUCAAACAGG